Long non-coding RNA from Cephus cinctus (wheat stem sawfly), 492 nucleotides. RefSeq lists it as uncharacterized. The transcript has 3 exons. The record is from RefSeq and is a predicted model, not a curated record. Lineage: Eukaryota; Metazoa; Arthropoda; Insecta; Hymenoptera; Cephidae.
ACAAGAUCCGACGGCAGCUGACAGGCGGACCUCAUCGCAUUAAUCCACAGCUGAAGACGGGUGGUUGGCCGUUCGGGAUAAGGACUCCACCAGGUUGGACAGAGUGGACAUUCCCCGACUGUCACUCGACGAUCCAGCCAAGGUGUACCUGGUGCAGGGACCACACGUUCGAUUGGGGAGCACCUGGACAUCCCGAAGGUCUUGGAUGCUGGAGACCCCUUGAAAUCAGGAGUUCAGUUGGUGUCGAACUAGAGCAAAGAACACUGGUCCAGGAUGUCGGGAGGCUGAAAAUCGAGGUGAAGCUAUCAUCGUGCUGGCGGUUCAAAGAACGCGAGGAGAUCUCAUGAAAUAGAAUCGUCAUCCCAGGCGUCAAUCUGUCUCUUCCAGCCGAAGGCCGGACCAAUCAGACCCGACCUCCAGACACAUGCUUGCAACCUCAGUCACUCACUGAUUUUUAAGUGGACUGGGAGAAAUAAAACCGGAGGGACACUA